AGUUUCUGACCUAUCAGCUUUGGACGGUAGGGUAUUGGCCUACCGGGGCAGCGACGGGUAACGGGGAAUUAGGGUUCGAUUCCGGAGAGGGAGCCUGAGAAUGGCUACCACAUCUAAGGAAGGCAGCAGGCGCGUAAAUUACCCAAUCCUAACACAGGGAGGUAGUGACAAGAAAUAACAAUACGAGGCUUAAAGUCUUGUAAUUGGAAUGACG
RNAcentral lists this ribosomal RNA (214 nucleotides) under Cytauxzoon felis. RNAcentral describes it as "partial 18S ribosomal RNA". It matches the Rfam family "Eukaryotic small subunit ribosomal RNA", at positions 302 to 519 of the family's 1831-position model. Lineage: Eukaryota; Apicomplexa; Aconoidasida; Piroplasmida; Theileriidae. The record is from RNAcentral.